Molecule: ribosomal RNA, 489 nt
Filed under: uncultured bacterium
Lineage: Bacteria
Description: bacterial SSU rRNA
Rfam family: Bacterial small subunit ribosomal RNA
Source: RNAcentral
UCAGGAUGAACGCUAGCGGCAGGCUUAAUACAUGCAAGUCGUGGGGCAGCAUGAGUAGCAAUACUUGAUGGCGACCGGCAAACGGGUGAGGAACACGUACACUAACCUUCCUUCAAGCGGGGAAUAGCCCAGAGAAAUUUGGAUUAAUACCCAUAAUAUAUUUGAUAAGGCAUCUUAUUAAUAUUAAAGCUUCGGCACUUGAUGAUGGGUGUGCGGCUGAUUAGAUAGUUGGCGGGGUAACGGCCCACCAAGUCUACGAUCAGUAGCUGAUGUGAGAGCAUGAUCAGCCACACGGGCACUGAGACACGGGCCCGACUCCUACGGGAGGCAGCAGUAAGGAAUAUUGGACAAUGGACGAAAGUCUGAUCCAGCCAUGCCGCGUGAAGGAUUAAGGUCCUCUGGAUUGUAAACUUCUUUUAUAUGGGACGAAAAAAGGGCAUUCUUGUUCACUUGACGGUCCCAUAUGAAUAAGCACCGGCUAACUCCGUG